This 400-nucleotide ribosomal RNA is filed under the name phytoplankton environmental sample. RNAcentral describes it as "partial small subunit ribosomal RNA". It matches the Rfam family "Eukaryotic small subunit ribosomal RNA", at positions 587 to 990 of the family's 1831-position model. The record is from RNAcentral.
AGCUCCAAGAGCGUAUAUUAAAGUUGUUGCAGUUAAAAAGCUCGUAGUUGGAUUUCUGGUACAGCGCGCCUGGCCCGCUUUUGUGAGUGCCGGUGCACGUUGGCCAUCCUUCUAGAAAACGUUUCUACCCGGGCAACUGGGCUGGACUCGCGAUCUAGAUCUUUUACUUUGAAAAAAUUAGAGUGUUUAAAGCAGGCUUUUGCUGUGAAUACAUUAGCAUGGAAUAAUAAUCUAGGACUUCGGUUCUAUUUUGUUGGUUUCUAGUACUGAAGUAAUGAUUGAUAGGGAUAGUUGGGGGUGCUAGUAUUGGCCGGCCAGAGGUGAAAUUCUUGGAUUCGGUCAAGACUAACUUAUGCGAAAGCAUUCACCAAGGAUGUCUUCUUUAAUCAAGAACGAAAGU